GCUUGAAUUUUCAAUUUCAAUCUUUUCUUUGUUUAUAUUGAUAGAUAAUCUGUUAACAUUUACUUUUGAUUUGAUGGAUUCUUCCGUAGUUAAAGCUUUUAGCAAUGAGGUUGGAAUUGAGUAUUUGACUUUUGAAAUUUCUGCUAUCCAAUUUUUAGUGUUUCGCAGUUUUUUAAAUAUUUUAUCUUGGGCAAUUUUUCCUUUAUCGUCAAUAAUAUCGUUAAUAUAAAUAAAAUCACUGUGUAUCCAGUUAAGCAUAAUAAGCGGCUUAUUUUGAAAUUUUAUAAAUUUAUUACCCCAUAUAACUUGCUUUCUUAUUUCGACAAAGUUUUUCAAUUCUGUGUUGUUCGUUUCAUGAAAUAGAAUCCAACUUUUUAUUAUUUCUAAGUAAAAUUCUGGAAUGUCCUUAGUUAUGUAAUCUAGUUUUUUAAAUGUUUGGUUGUUUAAAUUCAUUCUAAAAAUGAGGAAAUUUUCUCCUAAUUUAUUUAAAAAUAGCUUUGGUAUCAAUGUCCAAUUUUCUUGUUUUGCCUGUAGCAAUCUAGAGACCCAUCUUAUUUUAAGAGAGGAGAAGUAGCUUUUUAUGUCGGUCAUUUUAAGCCCUCCCUGGUUGUAAUCUGCUACCAAAGUAUGUCUUUUAACUUUGUCUUUCUUACUAUUCCAUAUGAAACUAAAGAUUUCUCUUUCUAUAUCAACUAUUUUUGAGUUACUUAAAACUGUAACAUUUGCUAAAAAAGUAAAUUGUGGUAUAAUGAGAGUUUUAACUAUAAGAAUUUUACCUAAAAUGGUUAAGUUUCUU
This 796-nucleotide long non-coding RNA is filed under the name Mytilus galloprovincialis (Mediterranean mussel). Lineage: Eukaryota; Metazoa; Mollusca; Bivalvia; Mytilida; Mytilidae. The record is from RNAcentral.